Molecule: ribosomal RNA, 443 nt
Filed under: Ascomycota sp. GMU_LL_02_C8
Lineage: Eukaryota; Fungi; Ascomycota
Description: eukaryotic LSU rRNA
Rfam family: 5.8S ribosomal RNA (bases 93-246)
Source: RNAcentral
GGGGCCACCAGCCCCUCCGGGGGUGCCCGCCGCAGGACACCAAAACUAUAUAAUUAUUAGUGGCUCUUCUGAGUAGACAUACAAAUAGUCAAAACUUUCAACAACGGAUCUCUUGGUUCUGGCAUCGAUGAAGAACGCAGCGAAAUGCGAUAAGUAAUGUGAAUUGCAGAAUUCAGUGAAUCAUCGAAUCUUUGAACGCACAUUGCGCCCGCCGGCAUUCCGGCGGGCAUGCCUGUUCGAGCGUCAUUUCAACCCUCAAGCACUGCUUGGUGUUGGGGCCCUACGCGUCCAGCGUAGGCCCUGAAAAUCAGUGGCGGGCUCGCCAUCGGUUCGGGCGCAGUAGUAAUAUCUCGCCCGGGACCGGCGACGUGCUCCGGCCGUUAAACACCCCAAACACUGAAUGUUGACCUCGGAUCAGGUAGGAAUACCCGCUGAACUUAAGC